GUCGAGCGAAUGGAUUAAGAGCUUGCUCUUAUGAAGUUAGCGGCGGACGGGUGAGUAACACGUGGGUAACCUGCCCAUAAGACUGGGAUAACUCCGGGAAACCGGGGCUAAUACCGGAUAACAUUUUGAACUGCAUGGUUCGAAAUUGAAAGGCGGCUUCGGCUGUCACUUAUGGAUGGACCCGCGUCGCAUUAGCUAGUUGGUGAGGUAACGGCUCACCAAGGCAACGAUGCGUAGCCGACCUGAGAGGGUGAUCGGCCACACUGGGACUGAGACACGGCCCAGACUCCUACGGGAGGCAGCAGUAGGGAAUCUUCCGCAAUGGACGAAAGUCUGACGGAGCAACGCCGCGUGAGUGAUGAAGGCUUUCGGGUCGUAAAACUCUGUUGUUAGGGAAGAACAAGUGCUAGUUGAAUAAGCUGGCACCUUGACGGUACCUAACCAGAAAGCCACGGCUAACUACGUGCCAGCAGCCGCGGUAAUACGUAGGUGGCAAGCGUUAUCCGGAAUUAUUGGGCGUAAAGCGCGCGCAGGUGGUUUCUUAAGUCUGAUGUGAAAGCCCACGGCUCAACCGUGGAGGGUCAUUGGAAACUGGGAGACUUGAGUGCAGAAGAGGAAAGUGGAAUUCCAUGUGUAGCGGUGAAAUGCGUAGAGAUAUGGAGGAACACCAGUGGCGAAGGCGACUUUCUGGUCUGUAACUGACACUGAGGCGCGAA
RNAcentral lists this ribosomal RNA (716 nucleotides) under Bacillus cereus. RNAcentral describes it as "bacterial SSU rRNA". It matches the Rfam family "Bacterial small subunit ribosomal RNA", at positions 61 to 757 of the family's 1533-position model. Lineage: Bacteria; Bacillati; Bacillota; Bacilli; Caryophanales; Bacillaceae. The record is from RNAcentral.